UCAGAAGUAAAGGUGUCCAUUUC
This 23-nucleotide non-coding RNA is filed under the name Rattus norvegicus (Norway rat). The record is from RNAcentral. Lineage: Eukaryota; Metazoa; Chordata; Mammalia; Rodentia; Muridae.